Molecule: long non-coding RNA, 3382 nt
Organism: Pelodiscus sinensis (Chinese soft-shelled turtle)
Lineage: Eukaryota; Metazoa; Chordata; Testudines; Trionychidae
Source: RefSeq, a predicted model, not a curated record
GACAUACCCCCAGUGAUUCUAAAUGACUGGUAAUUAAUGGGUUGACUUCUUUAUAAUCUGUCUGACUCUGAAACUGAAGUAGGAGUGGAAACAUUUCAAUAUUUCCACUUGAAAGGUGUCUUUUCCAAACCUUGAGUUUAUUUUUGAAUGCAAGAAGUUUGUCUGUGGAAGUUAGAAUGUUUUCUUUUGGGCCCUGCAUGAUGGUGUUCAAGGUGUUUAAAUGCUACUUUCUGCAGCCAUUUUGUAUCUUCAAGAAAGUCAGAAAAAAUGGCUUUAUUAUCUUUGAAGAAAAGCAGUAGUUCCUCUCGCAGCUCAAAUACCCUUGUUAAAACUUUCCCUCUUGAAAGCCAUCUAACAUUGGUAUGUAGAAGGAGAGUCACAUGGUCUUUUUGCAUAUUUUUCACACAGCUUUGCAAACAUGCUCAACUUAAGAGGGCGCUGCUUUAUAAAACUGAUCAUGUUCAUAGCUACAUCAAGGAUUUGUUUUAAAUCCUCCCCAAUAGUUUUUGUAACAAGAACUUCCCGUGGAGGAAGCAGUGAGUCAUUAUGACAGUGGUCCCCAACCUUUUGGGGCUGACGCAUGUGCUGCGCACCUGGAGGUGGCACCACGCAUGCGCCAUGCGCCCAGGGCCCGGGGCACAAGAAUGGCUUAGGCCUGCCCUGGUCACUGGGUGGGUGCACAUAAAUGCCCUGGCAGGUGCCAUGGCGCCCAUGGGCACCACGUUGGGGACCACUGCAUUAUGACAUCAGGGGUUUUUUCUUUGACGAGUGUAACAAAGCCUUUUAUUGAGCCAAUCAUUGCAGGGGUACCAUCAGUGCAAAUUCCAGUACACUGGCUCCAUGAAUCACAAUAUUCCAAAUAAGAAGACAAGAUGUUGAAAAUGGUCGUUUCUGGCUGCUCUUUACAACAACAAACAUUUUCCAUUAUUUCACCUUCGUUUUCAAAUUGUACAAAUGCCAACAGCUGAGCUUUACUUGUUAUGUCUGUUGACUCAUCGACUUGGAGAGCAAAGUUAGUAUUUUUUAGUAUUUCAGACAAGACAUCUUCAAUGUCAUGUGACAUGUCAUCCACAUGCCUACUAACAGUAUUAUUAGAAACAGGAACUUUGUCAAUUUCACUUUCAGCCUCUUUGCCUAUCGUUGUACUCGCUAUUAUUUUACAAGCAGGCAUUAUUAGGCUUUCUGCAAUAGUGUGACUUUCAUAUUUUGUGCAACUAGCUCAGCUACUAAAUAACUUGCUUCUUGAGCCUUUUCACUGAUAGUUACCUUCUUCUCAAAAACUUUACAUUGUUUUCCUUGUGAUUCCAAAAGUCAUUGAAAGUAAUGGGGCAAUUUUCAUCUUCAGUCCAUGUAAAACCCAUGACCAAGUAACUGUCACUGUAAAGGCUAUUUUUUUUAGUAUCAGUCACUUCUCUUCCUAUUUCACUCGUACUUGGCUCUGAUAAUUUUGAUUCAUUUUCACUGUUCUCUCCUUCACUGAUGCACCUUCUUUUCAUAUACUUUCACAUUUUUUUUAUUUUCGACGGCCGUAUGAAAAUACUGUUACAUAGGUGUGAUUUUAGAUACACAAAAACAACCACAGUUUCGGUAAAAACGUUAAUUACAAAACUGUGCAAAGUCUACAAAUCUACAAAAUAGCGAACAACUGUAACGUGCACUAGAAAAGACUAGAAACGUGGAGAAUUCUGGGAAGCAGAAGGGCAGGCACAAUAUAACCUUAGAUAUGAACUGAUCAAAAUAAAACAAAGAGGCAGUCGGUAGCAUAUGAAAUUACUCCGGUAUUGCCAAUUGCUGGACAAAAAUUCCCACAAUAUUUCGAGGGAUAUUUGGAAUUGUUCGUGGUAUUUUAAAAUUUGUAUUUAUUUAUUCCAUGAUUUCUCACGGAACCCCUGACAAUGGUCUGUGGAACCCCAGGGUUCCACGGAACCCUGGUUGGGAAACACUGGGCUAAAUGAUGACUGGCAAGUGGGUCAUUGAGGCAAGGUGGGUACAGGGAGACUGGGGAUUAUCUGAGAGGGGAGGACCCCUGAGUGCAGAGGCAUUGAUCUAGGAUGGUACCAGCAGGUGUGACACCAGCUGAAAGGGGCUGCUCCAGGGCUGACGAGCUAAUUCCUAAAGUGACCAGCAGGAGGCGCCAUGGGGUGAAUUCCACCAGGUUAGCCAUCACAGUGAACAGAACAGCAGCUAAAACAGAGGAACAGUAUUUCAGGAGGAAGGCCCCCACACAACAGCAGCUGCAGACGAGAUAAGUUAAAUGCAGGUCACUUUACAGUGUUCCAGACUUUGUAGCAAUGAUGGAUCUGGCAAACACUGCACUGCUUUAGUACACCAGAUUUAAAUGAGGCUCUACAUGUACAGUCCAUCACAGGGAAAGGACACCAUUAUUAAUGGACAUUGCCUUUGGUAUAAAUGAAGAUUAGAACUCCAUGUUCAGGACCUGCUCUUUAUGAAGCUAGUUGGAGAUAGAUUGGGACCUUACCUCCUUAGAGAUGAAGGGGCAAAUUCUCUGUUGCCCUAUACCUGAUAGAGUUCUUUACACCAAUGCAAAGUGGGUGUAAAAUGCUACCUAAUCAGAACUGUAAAUGUGUAAAUGACUCCAGAAAGUGCAGGAGAGUGGACAGACAGUCCCUCAUAUGCUGUCACUGAAAUAUUACAUUUAUUGUUUUGGGUACAAGAAAUAAACUUUCCUAUGAGUAGAUUGGUAAAGAGUGUAAUGUUCCCAUUCUUAUUCUUUCUUCCCUCUGAGCCUGACAAUAUGAUCUCUCAGCAUCACCUUAACUAGUUCCUAAAAAGCCAUUGGUCAAAGUCCCUUUGAUUUCAUUGGAGCCAUGUUUAAGCUACAGGUUCUAUAGCUACAGUGGCAGCUCUGAUCUGUAGCACUGUAAUGUAAAUCCUACCCUCGAAGGGGGUUUUCUUUCAAUGUCGGUAAUCGACCACCCAAAAGCGAUAGUUAGGUCAAUGGAAGAAUUCUUCCAUCAACUUAACCACACCUCAAUCUGGGAUUAAGUCACUUUAUCAGCAUUUAGGGGAAUGAAUUUUUCACACCCAAGGGACAUGGAUAGGUUUACCUACAUUUUAAGUGUAUCCAUGCCUGGGGGUGAAGUUAGUUAAACACCAAGAAUUGUUGCAAUUUCCCCAUAGAGUGCAAUGAUACCAGAAUUAGUCACACUUUCAUGGUAUAUUUAAACAUAUUGUUGCAAGUCAGGCAUUUUGGGACACCUGGCACUGGCUGCUAAGAGAAGAUAGUAUACUGGCCUACAUGCACUUUUGGUCUAAUCCAGUAUGGUCAUUCUUAUGUUCUUAUUCAAAAAGUCCACAUCAGCUCAGAGUUAAAAGGAUGAGUUACAAGCUGUUACAUUUCUGGAAAAGUACUAGAAUCUGU